AGCAGCCGCGGUAAUUCCAGCUCCAAUAGCGUAUAUUAAAGUUGCUGCAGUUAAAAAGCUCGUAGUUGAAUUUCGGGACCAUCAUGUCGGUCGUGCCUCGGUACGUACUGGCAUUGUUGGUUUCUACCUUCUGACGAACCAUGAUGUCAUUUAUUUGGUGUCGUGGGAAAUCAGGACUGUUACUUUGAAAAAAUUAGAGUGUUUAAAGCAGGCUCACGCUUGAAUACAUUAGCAUGGAAUAAUGAAAUAGGACGUUUGAUUCUAUUUUGUUGGUUUCUAGGAUCGACGUAAUGAUUAAUAGGGAUAGUUGGGGGCAUUAGUAUUCAAUUGUCAGAGGUGAAAUUCUUGGAUUUUAUUGAAGACUAACUACUGCGAAAGCAUUUGCCAAGGAUGUUUUCAUUAAUCAAGAACGAAAGUUAGGGGAUCGAAGACGAUCAGAUACCGUCGUAGUCUUAACCAUAAACUAUG
RNAcentral lists this ribosomal RNA (468 nucleotides) under uncultured Glomus. RNAcentral's name for it is "SSU rRNA". It matches the Rfam family "Eukaryotic small subunit ribosomal RNA", at positions 569 to 1041 of the family's 1831-position model. The record is from RNAcentral. Lineage: Eukaryota; Fungi; Glomeromycota; Glomeromycetes; Glomerales; Glomeraceae.